CUCGUAGGCGGUUUGUCGCGUCGUCUGUGAAAUUCUGCAACUCAAUUGCAGGCGUGCAGGCGAUACGGGCAGACUUGAGUACUACAGGGGAGACUGGAAUUCCUGGUGUAGCGGUGAAAUGCGCAGAUAUCAGGAGGAACACCGGUGGCGAAGGCGGGUCUCUGGGUAGUAACUGACGCUGAGGAGCGAAAGCGUGGGUAGCGAACA
Molecule: ribosomal RNA, 207 nt
Filed under: uncultured bacterium
Lineage: Bacteria
Description: partial 16S ribosomal RNA
Rfam family: Bacterial small subunit ribosomal RNA
Source: RNAcentral